Molecule: ribosomal RNA, 497 nt
Filed under: uncultured bacterium
Lineage: Bacteria
Description: partial 16S ribosomal RNA
Rfam family: Bacterial small subunit ribosomal RNA
Source: RNAcentral
GAUGAACGCUGGCGGCGUGCCUAAUACAUGCAAGUCGAGCGAACGGACGAGAAGCUUGCUUCUCUGAUGUUAGCGGCGGACGGGUGAGUAACACGUGGAUAACCUACCUAUAAGACUGGGAUAACUUCGGGAAACCGGAGCUAAUACCGGAUGAUAUUUUGAACCGCAUGGUUCAAAAGUGAAAGACGGUCUUGCUGUCACUUAUAGAUGGAUCCGCGCUGCAUUAGCUAGUUGGUAAGGUAACGGCUUACCAAGGCAACAAUGCAUAGCCGACCUGAGAGGGUGAUCGGCCACACUGGAACUGAGACACGGUCCAGACUCCUACGGGAGGCAGCAGUAGGGAAUCUUCCGCAAUGGGCGAAAGCCCGACGGAGCAACGCCGCGUGAGUGAUGAAGGUCUUCGGAUCGUAAAACUCUGUUAUUAGGGAAGAACAUAUGUGUAAGUGACUGUGCACAUCUUGACGGUACCUAAUCAGAAAGCCACGGCUAACUACGUG